UCCCUGGUGAUCUAGUAGUUAGGAUUUGGUGCUUUCACCUCUGUGGCCUGGGUUCAAACCCUGGUCUGAGAA
Non-coding RNA from Sus scrofa (pig), 72 nucleotides. Lineage: Eukaryota; Metazoa; Chordata; Mammalia; Artiodactyla; Suidae. The record is from Rfam.